RNAcentral lists this unclassified non-coding RNA (172 nucleotides) under Rhipicephalus microplus (southern cattle tick). RNAcentral describes it as "uncharacterized LOC119186916, transcript variant X1". The record is from RNAcentral. Lineage: Eukaryota; Metazoa; Arthropoda; Arachnida; Ixodida; Ixodidae.
CCUCUGCACUCGUAUUCUGAGCGCUAACUGCUCCGUCGGCGCUAACAGCUUCCCAUCCUGUGAAGCUUGCACGAAAAGUUGCACCAAUGCUAAUUCACAUGAAGCCUGUUCUCGGGCUGUACCGAACCCGGAAGACUUCCUACCGAAGAAGCCGAAAUAGACAAGCUGCUCU